GUCAGACCUACUUGGCCUUCACUUUGCCGCCUCCAAAUCACCAAAGGGGGACUGGGAUGUCCUGGAUUCAGGGGACCCUCUGCUCUGGGGGGGGAGGCAGAUCGAAUCCCACAUUUUCGUAGAAGAAAAACCUCUGCGGACUGUAGAAAAUAGUAGAAAAAAACUGCAAGAAUCUCAUCUGCUUUCCAGAUUAUUCUCCAUAAAGCUCCCUCCCCAAUCCCCAUGCCUGUAACUAAAUAAUCCGCCUGAAACGCAGCAAAACUGGUGCAGAAAGUGUAAAAAGAUGGAAUUCAGUGAGUAAUUGUGACUUUGGCAUCAAUUUGUCUGUACAAAGCUUUCAGCUUCCCCCUUGGAUUACACAGAGAAUUCAAGAAUCCGAAUAAUAAAGGAGAAAGUUUA
This is a long non-coding RNA of Xenopus laevis (African clawed frog), 399 nucleotides long. RefSeq lists it as uncharacterized. The record is from RefSeq and is a predicted model, not a curated record. Lineage: Eukaryota; Metazoa; Chordata; Amphibia; Anura; Pipidae. The transcript has 2 exons.